GAUCAUUACUGAUUUGCUUAAUUGCACCACAUGUGUUUUUUAUUGAACAAAUUUCUUUGGUGGCGGGAGCAAUCCUACCGCCAGAGGUUAUAACUAAACCAAACUUUUUAUUUACAGUCAAACUUGAUUUAUUAUUACAAUAGUCAAAACUUUCAACAACGGAUCUCUUGGUUCUCGCAUCGAUGAAGAACGCAGCGAAAUGCGAUACGUAAUAUGAAUUGCAGAUAUUCGUGAAUCAUCGAAUCUUUGAACGCACAUUGCGCCCUUUGGUAUUCCAAAGGGCAUGCCUGUUUGAGCGUCAUUUCUCCCUCAAACCCCCGGGUUUGGUGUUGAGCAAUACGCUAGGUUUGUUUGAAAGAAUUUAACGUGGAAACUUAUUUUAAGCGACUUAGGUUUAUCCAAAACGCUUAUUUUGCUAGUGGCCACCACAAUUUAUUUCAUAACUUUGACCUCAAAUCAGGUAGGACUACCCGCUGAACUUAAGCAUAUCAAUAA
Molecule: unclassified non-coding RNA, 495 nt
Filed under: Candida tropicalis
Lineage: Eukaryota; Fungi; Ascomycota; Pichiomycetes; Serinales; Debaryomycetaceae
Description: sequence contains 18S rRNA gene, ITS1, 5.8S rRNA gene, ITS2, 28S rRNA gene
Rfam family: 5.8S ribosomal RNA (bases 148-301)
Source: RNAcentral